UUCCUCCUUCCAAAUAUCUCCCGUUCUUGCUGCUCCGAGUCGAGCGCAUCCCGGUGAAUGGUGGCGGCGCAGAGGGUGAGCGGCGGGCGAGAGGAGGCGCUGAGGAGGAAUAGGCCGGCGGCGCGGGCGGCGAAGGGAACGACGUGACGGUGGAGUUGCCGGCGCCGAUGGGGCAUGCCGCGUCAAGGACCCCGAGCAACUGCGGCAGCGGCGGAAGGCAGCGCGCCGAGCGACGGGAGCGACUGGACGAGGACGCAGGGAGCGUCCACCAGAGCGAGGGCAGGAGCCCAUCACGGAGGAUCAGGUCUUGGGGCAGCAGCGUCGGGUAAAGAAGAGGAAGCAACUGGGUGGCUCCACGGCCAUGGAGGCGAGGAUGUGGUUGAGUGGGAUCCUUGGGUUGCGGAGAUGGAGGAGGUGAGGCCGAGCUGGUCAUAUGCUGUUUCAGGUACGGGCUGAAUUGGUUCAGGUUUGGUUCUCCCUCCUCUCUCUGUAUUUUCCUCUCCGUCUCUCUACUCUCACUCUCCUUUCCCCCCUCUUUCUCAUGGACGAGGGCGGGGGUGGCAGGGAAUGGAGGAGCAUAGGGUGCGAGCCGAGGGGAGUGCCCGUAGUAGCUAUCACCGUCCUCAGCUCCACACUACCCAGAUGCCGCCUUGAUGCCGCUGAACAGAGAAGGGGGUGUGAACCGAUGAGGCUGUCAGUAUAUUUUUUGACAACGUGACUGUCAGUAUAUAGUUGUUGUAUCUGCUUGAUUCUUGGCAACCCCUACAUUCACCUAACUAAACGAUUCCUACUACAUGUGCAUUCUGUGUUGGUGAAUAAUAUUUAAUUCAAUAAACAGUAGUUGUGGAAGUAGUAUCAAGUGCCAUUAUUAGUCACAAAGUGGUGGGAGCUUAUCCUCUAAUUUUGUUUUUCCAGGUGAGAAUAAUCUAAAAAGGAACCAUAGCUGAUUGAUGUCUUUUUGAUGGCGUUCUCUACAUGUUGCUUGAGUUACUACUUCAUAAAUUGUUGCCAGUUUCCUUUCUGAUUUCCCCUUGGGGUGCAGAGAGAGCUUCCAGGCCGAACCCCGCGGUCUGGUAGGUAGAAGGCAAAGCAAUAUCUCGUCUAUCUUUGUUUACCUUGGCACUGGGUUGACAUAUGUGUGGUUUCAGCUUAAAGCCAAUACAAUACAAGUGAGAUAGCUAACCGUACCAAUCAGUUGUGCGGACACGUGAAAUGUCUUAUGUCAUUGGUGGAUCUCCCAUGGGUUGGAUUUUUUGUGUGGCCUGAAGGAAAAGAAGAAUAGCUGUCACUUCAAGCUACAAAGUCAAAUAUCACUCACUCAGCCACUCAGGUGACUCAGAGAUUCUUAGCUCUAUAAGCAUUAUUGCUCCUCAUGAUUGUUUGCAGUAUAUGUUACACCAAUGUUAUUUUCUCCCUUUUUAGCUGAAUGAUUACUGACUGUUUGGACAGAAUAAUGGUCCAUGUGAGAGAAAUAACAUGUUGAUAUCAUCCUGAAAUAAUAUAAGCGGGAGGGGACGAGGUUGGUAGCCAUAAGUCAUUGGCUCGUAAUUUGCCUAUAUUUAUUAUACUAGCUCUAAAGUGUAAGAUGUCUCCUGCUCUAUACGGUUAAUUUGUGGGCAUAUCAUUGCUACUGUCUCCUAAUUGGGUGAUGAGCAUAUGGUGUAGAUUUUUGUGAGCACGUGUUUGUGAUCAGACUACCAUGGUAUCUAGCUUCAUUUCUAUCAUGAUACUGAAUUUCUUGGUGCUUCAGUGUGUUAUCUGGUGAUUUAUCUGGCCAGGGAUAAAUAUGUAAUGGAGGAUAUAUUAUUGUUUUAGUCACCACUUUUUCUUGUGCUACUAGGCACAAAUUUCUCACAUUAGCAGAUCUGUUUGUGUGCAUCUUUUCUUUUUAUACACACACCGUUCUUUUUUUAUUGAUAUAAUUUAUAAACAAGUUCUAAAUAUGUCCUCACUUUCUUAGCUCUGUGGGGUGUGUUUCCUUUUGCUGUGAGGUGGGCUUGCUGUCCUGCUUUGCACAUCUUGGUUCAUAUCACAGAGAGUAAUUUGUAUGUUUGCUCCGCUCUUGUGAUUCUGCAGGUGUUUAAAGGUCUUCUCAGCAGAAGUGGUAAAACAUAAGCUUUAUCUUUUCCAGUUCGAAUUAUCCCUAAAUCUGACAACUCACUUAUUUAGACGUUCUGGGUGUUAAAUAACAUGUUUCAGCAUCAUUAUUAAUUGUUAAGGUAAGCUAAAUUUAUGACAACAUUUUCUUACAUGUUUACAAGAGUCUCAGCAGUAUUACUAUUAUAUUCUCACAUUUGCCUUACCCCAAAUUAGGCUAUCACUUUUAAACUUUUCUCACCAGAACUAUCCCUUGGUAACAGGAUGGCUUUACAGCACUAGACGUAUUGGCUGUUGAGUGGCUCCAAUCAGGGCUAAUACACUCUGGCCAGUAGGAAGUUUACAUGUCGGUGUGAUGUACCUCAGCCAGUUCAUUGAGCAAAGUGGUUGGAAGCUCCCAAAAUGAUGCGAGGCACGCUUCGGGAGAGCACACGGUGAAGGCGGCGGCGCGUCUCCUCGAGAAGGUCGUCCACAACCGGCUCCGGCGGCAGCGGGCGAGCCGGGCAUCCGGUCGAGAAGGGAGGAGUACCGCUGCGCCGGCGUGUGGCAAGAUCGAGGAGGAGCUUGAGGAGGACGUCCAUGGAGGGUCCGUCGCGGCGGGGCGAGCACGAGUUCGAGGAGGCGCGGUUGGCGGAAUCCCUUGCGCAUCUGGCGGAACCGGCCGGAGAAGGAGUGGCCAGCCCGAGCGAUGGAGGUGCCUUCAGCAGUCACCACGUCUUGGGCGGCCGAU
Molecule: long non-coding RNA, 2827 nt
Organism: Lolium rigidum
Lineage: Eukaryota; Viridiplantae; Streptophyta; Magnoliopsida; Poales; Poaceae
Exons: 5
Source: RefSeq, a predicted model, not a curated record